GCCCUCUUUUAGGCCAUGGUUGUAUCAUAAACUAAACUAUAUGGUAGUAUUCAUCCAUCGAAAUAGAAGUGCUGAGAAAUGCUGCAAACUGUUGCCAGCCACCUUAAGUUUAACAAACUGUGAGCCAGCUGUUGUCAUCGCUAUCAUAAACUGACAAAUUAAAAAUUAUCUUUCCAAACACUGCUGCUUAGCUUUUCCUGAAAACACAGUUAAUUUUAUAAUGUCCAAGACAACAGUGACGUCACAAAGAAGAGUCUCAGUUCUAUUCCUUCCGUUAAAGUGCGCAGUCAUUUUUGGAAACGUUUUCGUGAAGCCAUCGGCUGUCUUCGUGUUUUUAACUUUUUUACUCCUUUUCAGGGCUCAGAAAGAAAAAUUUCCGCAGAAGUUUCCUCUUUUUUUUAACAUUUCGUCGCUCUAAAUUAUGGUUCAUUUGGCCUUUAAGAGGUUGGCGCUACGUGAAAACUGGCUUGAAAUAAAAAACACGAAUGGAUAGGCAGAAUAGCGGUAGCAAUAUGGUCCAUCAUUGACUUAGCGCGAUAAUGGGUUUUAUGCUGGGGCGGGGCCUUAUCUUAUCUUACGGUACAAGCUGCAGAGGUAGAUAGCCGAUAAUGGGCUAGACACCACACGCAGAGCAAGCUUUAAAUUCGCGUGCUCUGCUAAACCUCUCUCCUUUUUCUGCCAGCGCCGAUCGUGAUAGCUGUUUAGCCUUAGAAGCGUACUUUACUUUCUUUAAUUUCGUCGGCCCUCCACCAUCCCCUGAGCUCCUCCUCUGCUCUUCUUACCUGUUACCGGGCUGGCUGUUUUUCGCCCCAACUUUAUUCACUGAAUCAAAUAUAGCAAAGUUUAAUUGAUUAAUUUGACACCAUAGCAUUUGAAUAGUUUGAAAUAAACGCUACGUGAGUGGCCAAAUUAAUCCA
Long non-coding RNA from Orbicella faveolata, 917 nucleotides. NCBI's taxonomy places the organism in Eukaryota, Metazoa, Cnidaria, Anthozoa, Scleractinia, Merulinidae. The record is from RefSeq and is a predicted model, not a curated record.